AGAGUCCUGAUGUGUUCGUCGUAUAACCUAUUGUUUUGACCGAACAAUAAGUUAUACGGGAGCUCGGAGUUUUCUUACCGCGUACACGCCUCAUGGAUAGAGGACUUACAAAGGAGAAACAGAGCACCCACCUGCCUGGGUGCGGGUUCAAAACGAAGGCAUCGACGGCACAAUUGGGGCUCUU
Molecule: non-coding RNA, 184 nt
Filed under: Litchfieldia luteola
Lineage: Bacteria; Bacillati; Bacillota; Bacilli; Caryophanales; Bacillaceae
Description: 6S RNA
Rfam family: 6S / SsrS RNA
About the family: E. coli 6S RNA was the first non coding RNA to be sequenced, but its function was unknown until recently.
Source: RNAcentral